This 348-nucleotide unclassified non-coding RNA is filed under the name Hevea brasiliensis (rubber tree). The record is from RNAcentral. Lineage: Eukaryota; Viridiplantae; Streptophyta; Magnoliopsida; Malpighiales; Euphorbiaceae.
CUCUCUCUCUCUCUCUCCUUCUUCCUCGAAUCUUCUUCUCUUUCUUUAUUAUUCCUUUCUUCUAUUCUUCUGUUACUCAUGUUGCUACUCUGUGAUUGAAGGAGUUGUUGGUCUGAGCUCCAUCGUCAGGUCUUGAGAAGUCUAUGAGACCAAUUCCUGACAUUUACUCACAUGAAAGAAAUCAUUAGCUCUUAUGAGUGGAAGAUGAUUUUAAGUUAGGGUUUUUGUUGAAAAUGGGUGUUUAAUUAAAGCUUGAGUGGAUUUAUGAUUGAUUAUGUAAAAAAAGGAUGUGAAUGAAGGGAGGAAGAUGAAACUUGGGGUGUUGAGUGCUCUUUUCUUUUCUUUUUU